ACCUGUCUGAAACACAGCUGGCUUCCACUGUUCCGUCAGUACUGAAUCCUUUCUGUGAUGUGCAAGUAAGUUUUGCUACACUUCCAUUAUUCUCUGGAAAUUACACUUGUAUUUCACUCAGAACAUUUUCUUUUGUACUGAAAAACCUCACACCAGAAGAUAUAUCGAAGAUGUCAGAAAGUUACUGAAACUACCUGACCAAGACGCCCAGUCUCCAAACGAGGGGCAGGCACGGUGUGCACUCUUGGAGCUGAAGAUAACGUUAUUGCAAAAUACAUCACUUAAUUCAGCCUACGAGGCAGAUAUUCGUCCUACCUUAGGGGUUGUAACCACCUUUUCACAGCACGAUGGUCCGCCCGUGCCCUUCCCGCACAACUCCGGGCGGGCGGGUGCCCCACCGCGCUGACAGCCCCCCGGCUGUGGGGCGCGGAGCUCUCCCGCCCAAGCGCCGCUUCCAAGCAGCCCAUCCCGCGCCGUCCGCUCGGCGCUCCAGGCCGCUCUCGAAGACCGCCCCACCUCCCGGCUCCUGGACCGCGCAGCCCCUCCAGGCCGCGGCCAACGCUCCUGCCCGCCGCGCUGUUCCCGAGCGGCGCCCCCGCCCGCCGCGGGCUGUUCCGCUGCUACGCCCCCUCCCCCCGUCGCAGAGCUCCGGACCCAAGAUGGCCGCCGUGUCAGUUUCGGGCUUCGCCGCCGUUCGGCCUUUGCUUCUUGGUUCCCGUCUCUCGCAGUCUUCGGUGUAAUGUUACAGUUCUUCUAAUUGUGAGUGUGCAAACCAGAAGCUGAGUGUGACGACACUAAAUGUUUGCAAAAGAAGUAAUUCAGAACAGAAAACGUGUAUGCUAUGGUUAGCUGUUUCCCAUCAUCCGAGAAUCUGUUUUCUCAUUGUGUGAAACUUGUUCAGCAUCAGGAUAAAGGAUAACGACUCUAUGGAUAUACAGAAGUCUUCACCAUGGUAAAACUCGCCAACCCCCUGUAUACGGAGUGGAUUUUGGAGGCAAUCAAAAAGGUAAAGAAGCAAAAACAGCGUCCUUCAGAAGAGAGGAUAUGCAAUGCAGUGUCUUCAUCACAUGGCUUGGAUCGCAAAACUGUUCUGGAACAGUUAGAGUUGAGCGUUAAAGAUGGAACUAUUUUAAAAGUCUCCAACAAGGGUCUCAACUCCUAUAAGGAUCCCGAUAAUCCUGGGAGAAUAGCACUUCCAAAGCCUCGGAACCAUGGAAAGUUGGAUGGUAAACCAAAUGUGGACUGGAAUAAACUUAUCAAACGGGCAAUUGAGGGCUUAGGUGAGUCUAGUGGCUCAUCCUUGAAGAACAUCGAGCGUUUUCUCAAAGGUCAGAAGGAUGUGUCUGCAUUAUUUGGAGGUAGUGCUGCCUCCAUUUUUCACCAGCAACUACGAUUAGCUGUCAAACGUGCAGUUGGCCAUGGCAGGCUCCUUAAAGACGGACCUCUGUACCAACUCAACACUAAAGCAACCACUAAUGCUGAUGGGAAGGAGAGUUUUGAGUCUCUUUCCUGUCUGCCUCCAGUGUGUCUCCUUCCCCAUGAAAAGGAUAAGGUAAGACCCAAUUUACGUAGGCAUUUUUGUGUAAUUGGUGAAACGUGUCAUUACACAGUCACAGUUUGAGGUCGAUUUGUUUAACUUCUAUCUGGUAAGAUACAAAUGGC
Molecule: long non-coding RNA, 1662 nt
Filed under: Gallus gallus (chicken)
Lineage: Eukaryota; Metazoa; Chordata; Aves; Galliformes; Phasianidae
Description: long non-coding RNA NONGGAT005056
Source: RNAcentral